UCAUCAUGGAAUCAGUACGGAUACCCGCAAGAAUCACCAUAUCCAUAUCCAUCUCAACAAAACCAAUAUCACACGCCUCAGCAACAUCAGCCCUCUACUUCUUCUUAUAGUUAUGAAGCAGAAAGGCCUCAGCCACAGAGGAGGUUGGAUAGGAAAUACUCCAGGAUUGCUGAUGAUUACAAGACCUUGGAUCAGGUCACUGCUGCUCUUGCUCAAUCUGGCCUGGA
Molecule: unclassified non-coding RNA, 227 nt
Filed under: Hevea brasiliensis (rubber tree)
Lineage: Eukaryota; Viridiplantae; Streptophyta; Magnoliopsida; Malpighiales; Euphorbiaceae
Source: RNAcentral